CGGGUGAGUAACGCGUGGGUAACCUGCCUCAUACAGGGGGAUAACAGUUGGAAACGGCUGCUAAUACCGCAUAAGCCCACGGCUCGGCAUCGAGCAGAGGGAAAAGGAGCAAUCCGCUUUGAGAUGGCCUCGCGUCCGAUUAGCUAGUUGGUGAGGUAAUGGCCCACCAAGGCAACGAUCGGUAGCCGGACUGAGAGGUUGAACGGCCACAUUGGGACUGAGACACGGCCCAG
Molecule: ribosomal RNA, 233 nt
Filed under: uncultured bacterium
Lineage: Bacteria
Description: partial 16S ribosomal RNA
Rfam family: Bacterial small subunit ribosomal RNA
Source: RNAcentral